This 468-nucleotide ribosomal RNA is filed under the name uncultured bacterium. RNAcentral describes it as "partial 16S ribosomal RNA". It matches the Rfam family "Bacterial small subunit ribosomal RNA", at positions 28 to 507 of the family's 1533-position model. The record is from RNAcentral.
GACGAACGCUGGCGGCGUGCUUAACACAUGCAAGUCGAACGGAAAGGCCCUGCUUUUGUGGGGUGCUCGAGUGGCGAACGGGUGAGUAACACGUGAGUAACCUGCCCUUGACUUUGGGAUAACUUCAGGAAACUGGGGCUAAUACCGGAUAGGAGCUCCUGCUGCAUGGUGGGGGUUGGAAAGUUUCGGCGGUGGGGGAUGGACUCGCGGCUUAUCAGCUUGUUGGUGGGGUAGUGGCUUACCAAGGCUUUGACGGGUAGCCGGCCUGAGAGGGUGACCGGCCACCUUGGGACUGAGAUACGGCCCAGACUCCUACGGGAGGCAGCAGUGGGGAAUAUUGCACAAUGGGCGGAAGCCUGAUGCAGCAACCCCGCGUGCGGGAUGACGGCCUUCGGGUUGUAAACCGCUUUCGCCUGUGACGAAGCGUGAGUGACGGUAAUGGGUAAAGAAGCACCGGCUAACUACGUG